UAUUUUUUUUUUUUUAUAUCUAGGCUGUCAAUACCAUGUCGGUGAAUAAGUGUAAGUUAUUAGAUUGGCUUGAAACAGAAGAUAUUGUUGCUGAAGGACAUUUGAUAUCAGAUGAUCCAGAAGAUCUAGUUGAUAAAAUUCCUUUGGGACCAAAUGCAUUGAAAGUUUGCGUUGAUAAUUCAAAUAAACCUGAUGUUUUUCUAUGGAGACCUACAACUACUAUGACUUGUAUGAAACAAGCUCAAGGUGAACCGAUUGCCUGGCCUGUUGACCGCGUUAUUAUACAAACAGAGCAACAUUCUGAGAGGCAAGAAAACAUGUCCUCACAUUCGUUUGUGUAGAUGUUGCAAUAAUUCCUGAAGCAUUUCUCUGGCGUCCUACAGUGGAUUUGGUACGCGUUAAAGAUGCAGUUAAUUCAGCUAUAGCUUGGCCAGCUAGUAAUGUAAUUCUUGAAAAGUCGACAGAAACUCGAGAAGAAAAUCGAUCAUCUCCUACGAGUGUGAAUACUAAUAAUGUAAGGAAAAAGUGCAAGUUGUUGGAUAUUCGUGGAUCUGGCGAAGUAGUUGCAGAAGGACGAGUUAGUUCAAGUGAUCCAAACGAGUUAGUUCAUUUUGUUCCUUUAGGUCCUAAUGCUAUGCGAAUUUGGAUUGAUACUGUG
Molecule: non-coding RNA, 658 nt
Organism: Erythranthe guttata (spotted monkey flower)
Lineage: Eukaryota; Viridiplantae; Streptophyta; Magnoliopsida; Lamiales; Phrymaceae
Source: RefSeq, a predicted model, not a curated record